This 406-nucleotide ribosomal RNA is filed under the name Psychrobacter sp. GUVFEIM-12. RNAcentral's name for it is "bacterial SSU rRNA". It matches the Rfam family "Bacterial small subunit ribosomal RNA", at positions 39 to 437 of the family's 1533-position model. Lineage: Bacteria; Pseudomonadati; Pseudomonadota; Gammaproteobacteria; Moraxellales; Moraxellaceae. The record is from RNAcentral.
UUUGCAGCUGACGCUGGCGCAGCUACCAUGCAGUCGAGCGGAACGAUGGAGCUGCUACAGGCGUGCGUGGCAGAGACAGGUGAGUAUACUUAGGAAUCUACCUAGUAGCCGUGGGGAUAGCUCGGGGAAACUCGAAUUAAUACCGCAUACGUCCUACGGGAGAAAGGGGGCAGUUUACUGCUCUCGCUUUUAGAUGAGCCUAAGUCGGAUUAGCUAGUUGGUGGGGUAAAGGCCUACCAAGGCGACGAUCUGUAGCUGGUCUGGGAGGAUGAUCAGCCACACCGGGACUGAGACACGGCCCGGGCUCCUACGGGAGGCAGCAGUGUGGAAAGACGAAAAAUGGGGGAAACCCUGACCCAGCCAUGCCUCUUGUGUGAAGAAGGCCUUUUGGUUGUAAAGCACUUUA